Molecule: ribosomal RNA, 328 nt
Filed under: uncultured bacterium
Lineage: Bacteria
Description: bacterial SSU rRNA
Rfam family: Bacterial small subunit ribosomal RNA
Source: RNAcentral
GAUGAACGCUGGCGGCGUGCUUAAUACAUGCAAGUCGAGCGAAGCACUUUAACGGAAUUCUCCGGAAGGAAGGUAAAGUGACUGAGCGGGCGUACGGGUGAAGGUAACGCGUAGGGUAACCUGCCUUAUACAGGGGGAUAACAGUUAGAAAUGGCUGCUAAUACCGCAUAAGCGCACAGGGCCGCAUGGCCCGGUGUGAAAAACUCCGGUGGUAUAAGAUGGACCUGCGUCUGAUUAGCUGGUUGGUGGGGUAACGGCCCACCAAGGCGACGAUCAGUAGCCGGCCUGAGAGGGUGAACGGCCACAUUGGGACUGAGACACGGCCCAG